RNAcentral lists this ribosomal RNA (465 nucleotides) under uncultured Arsenophonus sp. Its description in RNAcentral is "bacterial SSU rRNA". It matches the Rfam family "Bacterial small subunit ribosomal RNA", at positions 338 to 795 of the family's 1533-position model. Lineage: Bacteria; Pseudomonadati; Pseudomonadota; Gammaproteobacteria; Enterobacterales; Morganellaceae. The record is from RNAcentral.
CCUACGGGCGGCUGCAGUGGGGAAUCUUGCACAAUGGGCGCAAGCCUGAUGCAGCCAUGCCGCGUGUAUGAAGAAGGCCUUCGGGUUGUAAAGUACUUUCAGUCGUGAGGAAAGUGUUAAGGUUAAUAACCUUAGCAAUUGACGUUAGCGACAGAAGAAGCACCGGCUAACUCCGUGCCAGCAGCCGCGGUAAUACGGAGGGUGCGAGCGUUAAUCGGAAUUACUGGGCGUAAAGGGCACGCAGGCGGUUAAAUUAGUUGGGUGUGAAAUUCCCGGGGCUAACCUGGGAAUUGCAAUUAAGGACUGUUAGGUUGGGGUUUGGAGAGGGGGGUAGAAGUCCAAGUGGAGCGGUGGAAUUGGUAGAGAUGUGGAGGAAUACCGGUGGCGAAGGCGACCACCUGGACUAAUACUGACACUGAGGUGCGAAAGCGUGGGGAGCAAACAGGAUUAGAUACCCCUGUAGUC